UAUCUUCAGUCAAAUUUAAUCAUCAAUUUUAUGGUGGGGUCCUAAUAUUCUGUUAGAGGAAAUUAUGAUAAAAAAUUGUAAUUAACCGUUACAAAUGCAAUUGGUGCAUAGACUGAAUCAUGGUUGGUGAUUAUUUUUUGCAUCUUUUGGCGAAAGAGAACGUCGUAAUACCUGAGCUCUAACGUCACACCUAUAAGGUCUAAUCCUUGUGCUAUCUUCCAUUUUUUAUGCGUCACUCAGGCAACCGUUUGAACCAAACCGUGUGAGAGAUUACGUCACUGGAGACUAUUAAAAAAAAAAUCAAAAGCCAUUUGAACAGAUCCAUAAAUAAUGAUGUCAUCGCUACAAUUCUUGCAAUUAAUUCUACUUUUGUCCCAUCUCCAAAAAAACAUUUUUUAUUUCUUUGCUCAUUUACAUUUACGCAUAAACUGUCUUGGUUGAUCAAUUUUCCUGGCGUGAUAAUACAUUUAAUUUCAUUUCCAUUGAACAAUUUCUGGUGUUUUAGCACCAACUCGGCAGCUCUUCUUGGAUCAUACUUGACAUGUCCUCAUAUUCUGUCAUGACAUGAUGCACAAUGGAUGUGAUUUAUUUUUAGACAGAUAAAAAAAUGUUAAAUUAUGUCAAGGACGACAGUGGAUGACAUUUUUAAUUUGGUGCGAUUUAGACUUACGGACCAAACUUUCUCCAUUUUCAAUGGGACGAUGAAUUCAAAAAAUGUGUGGAGAACAAUUAUUCAAGGUUAAAUGUUGCUUGGCAGGUGGAAUACUCGUCUAUCAAUAAAAGUACGGCUUUACACUCUGGCUUUCAUUAAAAAAAAUGAA
Molecule: long non-coding RNA, 821 nt
Organism: Diachasmimorpha longicaudata
Lineage: Eukaryota; Metazoa; Arthropoda; Insecta; Hymenoptera; Braconidae
Exons: 2
Source: RefSeq, a predicted model, not a curated record